RNAcentral lists this ribosomal RNA (575 nucleotides) under Enochrus morenae. RNAcentral's name for it is "eukaryotic LSU rRNA". It matches the Rfam family "Eukaryotic large subunit ribosomal RNA", at positions 686 to 1219 of the family's 3401-position model. Lineage: Eukaryota; Metazoa; Arthropoda; Insecta; Coleoptera; Hydrophilidae. The record is from RNAcentral.
GCGAGUCAUUGGGACUUGCUAAACCUAAAGGCGUAAUGAAAGUGAAGGCCCGCCUUGCGCGGGCCGAGGGAGGAUGGGUGGCGAUACUUCGCCGCCCCGCACUCCCGGGGCGUCUCGUUCUCAUUGCGAGAAGAGGCGCACCCAGAGCGUACACGCUGGGACCCGAAAGAUGGUGAACUAUGCCUGGUCAGGACGAAGUCAGGGGAAACCCUGAUGGAGGUCCGUAGCGAUUCUGACGUGCAAAUCGAUCGUCGGAACUGGGUAUAGGGGCGAAAGACUAAUCGAACCAUCUAGUAGCUGGUUCCCUCCGAAGUUUCCCUCAGGAUAGCUGGCGCUCGCUUUGCGAGUCUCAUCCGGUAAAGCGAAUGAUUAGAGGCAUUGGGGUCGAAACGGCCUCAACCUAUUCUCAAACUUUAAAUGGGUGAGAUCUCCGGCUUGCUCGAACUUGAAGCCGCGAGAAUUUACAAGGAUCAGAGUGCCAAGUGGGCCAUUUUUGGUAAGCAGAACUGGCGCUGUGGGAUGAACCAAACGCAGAGUUAAAGCGCCUAAAUCGACGCUUAUGGGAUACCAUGAAA